CCCAGGCAACAGGAGUGAAAAUCAGCGAAGUUAGAAUCGACGCUGGUCGCCCGGGCGACAGCCCCGACGCCCGGGCGACGGACGCCCGAAGCUCAGGCGUCCAAAACUGGCGCCCAAGCCUCACAGAACCCUUAAUUCACGCUUGGGCGAGCUCCCUACAAUGCUUGAGCGUGAUUUCACGUGGAUAGGGCCUUGAUUCUGCUCUGAUUUGAUUCUUUCGAACCGGGCCGCACUUUGGGACGCGUCUGGCAUUAUUUAAAGGACCCUGGGGCUCUAGGUUUUGCAUCCCUAGUAGAGAAGAUCAUAAGAAUACACUCUUAGCCAAUUCUUAGUCUUUCAUUCUCUCUUUCUUUCUUCCAUUGUUCAUAG
This 369-nucleotide long non-coding RNA is filed under the name Vigna radiata. Its description in RNAcentral is "long non-coding RNA (VRAD_LNC008289)". The record is from RNAcentral. Lineage: Eukaryota; Viridiplantae; Streptophyta; Magnoliopsida; Fabales; Fabaceae.